Priapulus caudatus is the source of this 177-nucleotide long non-coding RNA. RefSeq lists it as uncharacterized. The transcript is spliced from 2 exons. NCBI's taxonomy places the organism in Eukaryota, Metazoa, Priapulida, Priapulimorpha, Priapulimorphida, Priapulidae. The record is from RefSeq and is a predicted model, not a curated record.
UGUAAUACCCGCCAGAAAAUCACCGAUCGCAUGUUGUAGUGUUGAAAAUAUGUAAUCUCAACUUUCGGCCUGGAUACUUUUGGUAAUCAUGAGUGAUGAAAGAGCAUGGGCACUGACAGGUCAUCGUCAGUCAUCAACCUAGCCUACUUUGACAGGUGCGAGGAGGCAUCGAAACAG